GAACGCUGGCGGCGUGCUUAACACAUGCAAGUCGAACGGAAAGGCCCUUCGGGGUACUCGCGUGGCGAACGGGUGAGUAACACGUGGGUGAUCUGCCCUGCACUUUGGGAUAAGCCUGGGAAACUGGGUCUAAUACCGGAUAGGACCACGGCAUUCAUGUGCUGUGGUGGAAAGCUUUUGCGGUGUGGGAUGGGCCCGCGGCCUAUCAGCUUGUUGGUGGGGUAAUGGCCUACCAAGGCGACGACGGGUAGCCGGCCUGAGAGGGUGACCGGCCACACUGGGACUGAGAUACGGCCCAGACUCCUACGGGAGGCAGCAGUGGGGAAUAUUGCACAAUGGGCGCAAGCCUGAUGCAGCGACGCCGCGUGAGGGAUGACGGCCUUCGGGUUGUAAACCUCUUUCGCCAGGGACGAAGCGCAAGUGACGGUACCUGGAGAAGAAGGACCGGCCAACUACGUG
This 459-nucleotide ribosomal RNA is filed under the name uncultured bacterium. RNAcentral describes it as "partial 16S ribosomal RNA". It matches the Rfam family "Bacterial small subunit ribosomal RNA", at positions 31 to 507 of the family's 1533-position model. The record is from RNAcentral.